GACGAACGCUGGCGGCGUGCUUAACACAUGCAAGUCGAACGGGAUCCGGGCUUUCGGGUUUGGUGAGAGUGGCGAACGGGUGAGUAACACGUGAGUAACCUGCCCCCUUCUUUGGGAUAACGUCGGGAAAUCGGCGCUAAUACUGGAUAUUCUUGCUGCAUCGCAUGGUGUGGUUUGGAAAGGGUUUCUGGUGGGGGAUGGGCUCGCGGCCUAUCAGCUUGUUGGUGGGGUGAUGGCCUACCAAGGCUUUGACGGGUAGCCGGCCUGAGAGGGUGUCCGGCCACACUGGGACUGAGACACGGCCCAGACUCCUACGGGAGGCAGCAGUGGAGAAUAUUGCACAAUGGGCGCAAGCCUGAUGCAGCGACGCCGCGUGAGGGAUGACGGCCUUCGGGUUGUAAACCUCUUUCAGUAUGGAACAAGGAUCCUUCUUUUGGGGGGUUUGAGGGUACGUGCAGAAGAAGCGCCGGCUAACUACGUG
RNAcentral lists this ribosomal RNA (481 nucleotides) under uncultured bacterium. RNAcentral's name for it is "partial 16S ribosomal RNA". It matches the Rfam family "Bacterial small subunit ribosomal RNA", at positions 28 to 507 of the family's 1533-position model. The record is from RNAcentral.